Molecule: ribozyme, 117 nt
Filed under: Aedes aegypti (yellow fever mosquito)
Lineage: Eukaryota; Metazoa; Arthropoda; Insecta; Diptera; Culicidae
Description: drz-agam-1 ribozyme
Rfam family: drz-agam-1 ribozyme
Source: Rfam by way of RNAcentral
UGCCCAGCAACUCCUAUCCCUACCUCCUCGCGGUACUGGCCGGGGUACGAGUAACCUUAGGGAAGAUCGGGUAACCAACCCCCGGUGGGAACUUUGGUCGUAUGCUGACAGAGAAGG